GGGUAACGCCCAGGCGGGGUGACCCGCGGAAAGUGCCACAGAGACAGACCGCCAACCAUCCACGGCCGGCCGUUAGGCCGGCCGGAGACAGGGGCAAGGGUGCAACGGUGAGGUAAGAGCUCACCAGCGGCCGGGUGACCGGCCGGCUGUGCAAACCCCACCCGGAGCAAGGCCAAGCAGGGAGCGGGCGGCCCGUCCAACGCUCCCGGGUAGGCUGCAAAGAGAGCCACGGAGACGUGGCGCUCGAGAGGGUCGCGGAGACGCGGCUCCCAGAGAGAUGGUCGCCGCCUGAGUUCGCUCCGGCGAGCUCGGGCACAGAAUCCGGCUUACAGGCCGGCUCCUCUC
RNAcentral lists this RNase P RNA (345 nucleotides) under Actinomycetota bacterium. RNAcentral's name for it is "Actinobacteria bacterium partial RNase P RNA component class A". It matches the Rfam family "Bacterial RNase P class A", at positions 76 to 367 of the family's 367-position model. From Rfam's summary of the family: Ribonuclease P (RNase P) is a ubiquitous endoribonuclease, found in archaea, bacteria and eukarya as well as chloroplasts and mitochondria. Its best characterised activity is the generation of mature 5'-ends of tRNAs by cleaving the 5'-leader elements of precursor-tRNAs. The record is from RNAcentral. Lineage: Bacteria; Bacillati; Actinomycetota.